Molecule: ribosomal RNA, 927 nt
Filed under: Amyloporia cf. stratosa
Lineage: Eukaryota; Fungi; Basidiomycota; Agaricomycetes; Polyporales; Adustoporiaceae
Description: eukaryotic LSU rRNA
Rfam family: Eukaryotic large subunit ribosomal RNA
Source: RNAcentral
AAUAAGCGGAGGAAAAGAAACUAACAAGGAUUCCCCUAGUACUGCGAGUGAAGCGGGAAAAGCUCAAAUUUAAAAUCUGGCGGUCUUUGGCUGUCCGAGUUGUAGUCUGGAGAAGUGCUUUCCGCGCUGGACCGUGUACAAGUCUCUUGGAACAGAGCGUCAUAGAGGGUGAGAAUCCCGUCUUUGACACGGACUACCAGUGCUUUGUGAUGCGCUCUCAAAGAGUCGAGUUGUUUGGGAAUGCAGCUCAAAAUGGGUGGUAAAUUCCAUCUAAAGCUAAAUAUUGGCGAGAGACCGAUAGCGAACAAGUACCGUGAGGGAAAGAUGAAAAGCACUUUGGAAAGAGAGUUAAACAGUACGUGAAAUUGCUGAAAGGGAAACACUUGAAGUCAGUCGCAUUGGCCAGAACUCAGCCUUGCUUUUGCUUGGUGCACUUUCUGGUUGAUGGGCCAGCAUCAAUUUUGACCGUCGGAUAAAGGCCAGGGGAAUGUGGCACCUUCGGGUGUGUUAUAGCCCUUGGUCACAUACGACGGUUGGGAUUGAGGAUCUCAGCACGCCUUUAUGGCCGGGGUUCGCCCACGUUCGUGCUUAGGAUGCUGGCAUAAUGGCUUUAAAUGACCCGUCUUGAAACACGGACCAAGGAGUCUAACAUUCUUGCGAGUGUUUGGGUGGUAAACCCGAGCGCGUAAUGAAAGUGAAAGUUGAGAUCCCUGUCGUGGGGAGCAUCGACGCCCGGACCUGACCUUCUGUGACGGCUCCGAGGUAGAGCAAGUAUGCUGGGACCCGAAAGAUGGUGAACUAUGCCUGAAUAGGGUGAAGCCAGAGGAAACUCUGGUGGAGGCUCGUAGCGAUUCUGACGUGCAAAUCGAUCGUCAAAUUUGGGUAUAGGGGCGAAAGACUAAUCGAACCAUCUAGUAGCUGGUUCCU